Molecule: ribosomal RNA, 253 nt
Filed under: uncultured bacterium
Lineage: Bacteria
Description: partial 16S ribosomal RNA
Rfam family: Bacterial small subunit ribosomal RNA
Source: RNAcentral
UACGUAGGGGGCAAGCGUUGUCCGGAUUUAUUGGGCGUAAAGAGCGUGUAGGCGGCCAUACAGGUCCGUUGUGAAAACUGGAGGCUUAACCUCCAGACGUCGAUGGAAACCGUAUGGCUAGAGUCCGGAAGAGGAGAGUGGAAUUCCUGGUGUAGCGGUGAAAUGCGCAGAUAUCAGGAAGAACACCCGUGGCGAAGGCGGCUCUCUGGGACGGUACUGACGCUGAGGAGCGGAAGCGUGGGGAGCAAACGGG